RNAcentral lists this ribosomal RNA (253 nucleotides) under uncultured bacterium. RNAcentral describes it as "partial 16S ribosomal RNA". It matches the Rfam family "Bacterial small subunit ribosomal RNA", at positions 524 to 776 of the family's 1533-position model. The record is from RNAcentral.
UACGAAGGGGGCUAGCGUUGUUCGGAUUUACUGGGCGUAAAGGGCGCGUAGGCGGCAAUUCAAGUCAGCUGUGAAAUCUCCGGGCUUAACUCGGAACGGUCAGCUGAUACUGCUUUGCUAGAGUGCAGAAGGGGCAAUCGGAAUUCUUGGUGUAGCGGUGAAAUGCGUAGAUAUCAAGAGGAACACCAGUGGCGAAGGCGGCUCACUGGACCGGAACUGACGCUGAGGCGCGAAAGCGUGGGGAGCAAACGGG